GAUGAACGCUAGCUACAGGCUUAACACAUGCAAGUCGAGGGGAAACGAUAUUGGAAGCUUGCUCCGAUAGGCGUCGACCGGCGCACGGGUGAGUAACGCGUAUCCAACCUGCCCGUCACUUGGGAAUAACCUUGCGAAAGUAAGACUAAUGCCCAAUGACAUUUAUAGAAGGCAUCUGAAAUGAAUUAAAGAUUUAUCGCUGGAGGAGGGGCUUGCGUCUGAUUAGCUAGUUGGAGGGGUAACGGCCCACCAAACCGACGAUGCGUAGGGGUUCUGAGAGGAAGGUCCCCCACACUGGUACUGAGACACGGACCAGACUCCUACGGGAGGCAGCAGUGAGGAAUAUUGGUCAAUGGGCGGAAGCCUGAACCAGCCAAGUAGCGUGCAGGACGACGGCCCUAUGGGUUGUAAACUGCUUUCAGUCGGGAAUAAUUCGUCGGUCGUGACCGACGUUGCAGGUACCGUCAUAAGAAGGACCGGCUAAUUCCGUG
Molecule: ribosomal RNA, 491 nt
Filed under: uncultured bacterium
Lineage: Bacteria
Description: bacterial SSU rRNA
Rfam family: Bacterial small subunit ribosomal RNA
Source: RNAcentral